AGAGUUUGAUCAUGGCUCAGGAUGAACGCUAGCGGGAGGCCUAACACAUGCAAGCCGAGCGGUAUUGUUUCUUCGGAAAUGAGAGAGCGGCGUACGGGUGCGGAACACGUGUGCAACCUGCCUUUAUCUGGGGGAUAGCCUUUCGAAAGGAAGAUUAAUACUCCAUAAUAUAUUGAACGGCAUCGUUUAAUAUUGAAAGCUCCGGCGGAUAGAGAUGGGCACGCGCAAGAUUAGCUAGUUGGUGAGGUAACGGCUCACCAAGGCGAUGAUCUUUAGGGGCCUGAGAGGGUGAUCCCCCACACUGGUACUGAGACACGGACCAGACUCCUACGGGAGGCAGCAGUGAGGAAUAUUGGUCAAUGGGUGCAAGCCUGAACCAGCCAUCCCGCGUGAAGGACGACUGCCCUAUGGGUUGUAAACUUCUUUUGUAUAGGGAUAAACCUACCCUCGUGAGGGUAGCUGAAGGUACUAUACGAAUAAGCACCGGCUAACUCCAUG
Molecule: ribosomal RNA, 498 nt
Filed under: uncultured bacterium
Lineage: Bacteria
Description: bacterial SSU rRNA
Rfam family: Bacterial small subunit ribosomal RNA
Source: RNAcentral